AGAGACAGCAGUAGCCACGGGAAUACGUAGGGCGCAAGCGUUGUCCGGAAUUAUUGGGCGUAAAGAGCUCGUAGGCGGUCUGUCGCGUCUGGUGUGAAAUCCCGAGGCUCAACCUCGGGCUUGCAUCGGGUACGGGCAGACUAGAGUGCGGUAGGGGAGACUGGAAUUCCUGGUGUAGCGGUGGAAUGCGCAGAUAUCAGGAGGAACACCGAUGGCGAAGGCAGGUCUCUGGGCCGCAACUGACGCUGAGGAGCGAAAGCAUGGGGAGCGAACAGGAUUAGAUACCCGAGUAGUCCAUGUCUCUUAUAC
RNAcentral lists this ribosomal RNA (309 nucleotides) under uncultured bacterium. RNAcentral's name for it is "partial 16S ribosomal RNA". It matches the Rfam family "Bacterial small subunit ribosomal RNA", at positions 504 to 807 of the family's 1533-position model. The record is from RNAcentral.